Long non-coding RNA from Lotus japonicus, 144 nucleotides. RefSeq lists it as uncharacterized. The transcript has 3 exons. Lineage: Eukaryota; Viridiplantae; Streptophyta; Magnoliopsida; Fabales; Fabaceae. The record is from RefSeq and is a predicted model, not a curated record.
UUUGCUCAUAGGUUUUUGGGGUUUAAAAUGAGGGAAAACUCCUUUGAGGUACAUGCCCAAUGUUUCUGAAAGGAUUAGGAAAAUAUGCAUGGACUAAGGACAGAGUGUGAGAUUGAUUGCUUUAAAGAAGUCAAUUUAUGAGAC